UAAAAGACCCAAUUCAAUUACACCCUUAUCUCUACACACACGACAGCAGUUUCAGUUUUCUUGUACAUCUCAUCGCCUUCUUCUUCCUGCAAACUCGUCCCUCUCAUGAACACAAGCCAAUCUUCAAUCAGUCCCCGAGUCUUUUAGCAUGUUUACAGGCAGUGAGGAAGGCUUCGACAAUUGCAAUUGGGUAAGUGCUUUACAUUUUUUUGGUCUUCGAUUUAUUGCUGCUUCUGCUUCUAUUCGAACCAAGUGAAGAGAGUCACUGGUAGCAAGAUCUUGCGCGAUAUCAAGGCUCAUGGAAUGGCUAAUUUUGGCUACCUCCUAGUUAAUUUAGUUUUUUCAUAUCAAUUAGCUAUGAUUUAAUUUUACUGUGGUUUCCUGAUGAUAAUGAAUUAUGUAUGGAUUUUGUGUGGAUUUAAUUGGGUUUCUGAUGAUAAUGACUAGCGUGUGAACUUCUGGCAUUUUUUCUAUAAGAAGCUAUUACUUGUCAGUUUCUUGCACUUCUCAUCGCCUUCUUCUACCUGCAAACUCGCCCCUCUCACGAACAAAAGCUAAUCUUCAAUCAUUCCCGCAGUCGUUUAGCACGCUCACAGACAGUGAGGAAGGCUUCGACAGUUGCAAUUGGGUAAGUACUUUACAUUUUUUUGGUCUUCGAUUUAUUGCUAGUUCUACUUUUAUUCGAACCAAGUGAAGAGUGUCACUGGUAGCAAGACUUUUUGCGUACUCAAGGCUCAUGGAAUGGUUGAUUUUGGCUACCUACUAGUUAAUUUAGUUUUUUCAUAACAGAUAGCUGUGAUUUAAUUUUCCUGUGGUUUCUUGAUGAUAAUGAGUUGUGUAUGGAUUUUGUGUGGAUUUAAUUGGGUUUCUGAUGAUAACGACUAGUGUGUGAAUUUUUGGCAUUUUUUCCUAUAAGAAGCUGUUGCCAGAGGAGUUAUAUCCUUUUCUCAAGAAAGCUAUUGCCAUUAUGCAGCACUUGGAGAGGAACAGGUAGGACAAAGACUCCAAAUUUAGGUUGAACGUCCUGUGCGUGAAAGGAAAUCUGUAGAAAGACUGGUUGCCAUUAUUGAGAAGGAUGGGUAUAAGGAAUUCCAAAUUGAAAAGGUGUAACAUUUUAAUUUAUUUCCAUCUUGUUAUUUUAACCCUUAAGAGGAGUUAGUUUCUACCGUCAGCACAUUGUAUGAGUUUUAAUGAACUUUUCAUAGAAGAUUUAUUUUUUGACAUAAUAGUAGGGCUGUGGAACUAAACUGAAGGAGAUCCUUACUGGUACUCAUUUUAACUGAACUCCACUUUAUGCAUAAGCGCAUUCACUAAGAGUGUGAAGGUUAUCAUAGCAGGUACCUUUAGAAAGCACAAUGACCACUGGCAUCAUCUAUUUUUCCUCAAAUUCCUGUUUAAUGAUGCUACGGAAUUGCUUGUGUUAUUAUGAAUGAAUCACUUUCUCCCAUAGAAGUGCGUUGAAUGAAUCUCAAUUGGUUAGGUUGAAUUAACUGCAUUCUUCCAUCCCUUAGGUGAGGGAUUUCAUGGUUUUCUGAAGGAGGUUUCUUCGUUUUCCAGCCAUAUUUUAAGAUUCAGGUUCUUCAUUUUCCAGCACUAUUUAUUUGUAAUUCACUCCACUCGGUGGUACGGAAUCCCUCAUAUAAAGUAUUCAUGGUGCUGGUAUAUUAUCUUUGUUAGCUAGGGUGAUUUAAAGGAAUAUAUUAAAUGGUAGACUAUGCAUGAACAAAAUUAACAANU
RNAcentral lists this long non-coding RNA (1737 nucleotides) under Olea europaea (common olive). RNAcentral's name for it is "long non-coding RNA (OEUR_LNC013185)". Lineage: Eukaryota; Viridiplantae; Streptophyta; Magnoliopsida; Lamiales; Oleaceae. The record is from RNAcentral.